This 368-nucleotide ribosomal RNA is filed under the name Cladophora sp. JIAC-WT-filamentous 2. RNAcentral's name for it is "LSU rRNA". It matches the Rfam family "Bacterial large subunit ribosomal RNA", at positions 2116 to 2486 of the family's 2925-position model. The record is from RNAcentral. Lineage: Eukaryota; Viridiplantae; Chlorophyta; Ulvophyceae; Cladophorales; Cladophoraceae.
AAUGAAUUGGACUUUAUAUGCGCAGUAUAGGUGGGAGGCUAUGAAAUCUUUUUGCGGAAUGGUUUGAGCCAUCAGUGAGAUACCACUCUUAUAAUGUUAGAUUUCUAACUUUGCAUCAUUAUCUGGUCAAAGAACAGUUUCAGGCGGGCAGUUUGACUGGGGCGGUCGCCUCCCAAACGGUAACGGAGGCGCACAAAGGUUUCCUCUGAACGGGUAGAAAUCGUAUCUAGAGUGUAAAGGCAUAAGGAAGCUUGACUGUGAGACCUACAAGUCGAGCAGGGACGAAAGUCGGUCUUAGUGAUCUGACGGUGCUGAGUGGAAAGGCCGUCACUCAACGGAUAAAAGUUACUCUAGGGAAACAGACUGAA